Long non-coding RNA from Mustela erminea (ermine), 6781 nucleotides. RefSeq lists it as uncharacterized. The record is from RefSeq and is a predicted model, not a curated record. The transcript is spliced from 3 exons. NCBI's taxonomy places the organism in Eukaryota, Metazoa, Chordata, Mammalia, Carnivora, Mustelidae.
AUAAUACGUUAUAUGUUAACCAAAAAGUUAAUUAAAAAAAUAAAAAUAAACUAAAAAUUGUAUGUUGAAGCAAUUAAAUGUCUUUAUUGCUUGAGUGACUUUCCAUGUUUUAUUUGGAAUGUGGCCAGGGAAGAUGCCGAGGCGGAAAGAGGUCUUCACACGGCCUUCCUGCGGGGCUCGCGGGCCGCGGGGCCCAGACGCCGUUGUGCAACGGGGCCCGAUUCCUGCUGCCCACCGCUGUCCUCCACGCGUGUGUGCGAGGUGCCCUGGGACCGCACCGAGAGAACAGACUUUGGUUUUCCGUCCGGCAUCUUUGUGAUGGGUCGAAGCGAGCUGGGGUGCGGAGGCUGCGACGGCCCGGAGGGACCUGGAGUUUGCACGGGAAGUGUGGGCGGCUUGUUUGUCCCACGGGGUCGCCGGCGCCCUUACUGUUCCAGGAGCUGGAGACAGGUGUGAGCCAGUAAGGGUAGUUCCUGCCCUCAUAGGAUUCGCCUUAUGGGAGGAGAGGACGGUAAUUGCCAGCUGAAGUCUUACUGUGCCAGGAAGUGAAAACACAAGAAUGCCGGCGGGGGGGGGGGGGUGGCCCGGAGGAUGAGGCUGGGUGCCCCCCGGCAGGCAGGGUGACUCCGCAGGAGCUCCCUUGUCCGUGCUGCUCGGGGAGGGCCGCGGCUGCUGUGAGGAAUUCGGACUGGCACUGGGCUGUGGUGGGAAGCCCUCCGAGGGCAGCCCUCCCUCCCUCCUAGGUGCCCUGGGGAGUCUUGGAUGAGGGAAGGUCAGGAUGCAGCCUUUGGACAGCCACUGCUUGUGUGUGUCAGGGACUCAGGACAAGCCAGGCUUCUGGAUCCCCUUCUAUCUACGACUUAAAUCUCAGGAGAGUCCAAAAGGUGGGCCGUGUCCUGUGUCUUCCCAUCCAGCGAGGGCACGUAUAAGGGGUGAUGCCAGGACUGCCCGGAGGCCCCGGAACACGGGGGCUCUUCCCGCCACCACGGCUGCAGGCGGGGGGCUCCAAAGGGGCACGUGCCAAGAUCCCUAUGGGCCAGAGGGUGACCUGAGCCCCGGCCCGCUGUCCGAGGGCUCUGUACUGUUGGCAGGGGACAUGCGGCCGGUCACACGGGGUGUGGGGUGCCUUCAGACUCCUCUGCCUCACUUCCACUCACUCAGCGCUCCUGGACUUGAAGCACAGUCUUAAAAUCAUAUCCUUGUGCCUUUAAAAAAAAAAAAAAGAAGAGAAAAAAAAAAGAAAACACAAGUGGAAUGAAAUACAGUAAUUACAAAAUGUCUUUCUGUUAAAAAUCCGAUUCUUCCCAGGCAGUCUUUGAGCAUCGAUGUGCUCGGAGCUGCCCCUCUGUUCCCUGUGCCCGCUCUCCGUACGAGCUCCCCCUGCCAUCUGGGGGUCUUCCAAGCCCCUGAUGCUCGCUCGGACCGUGCGGGUGCUGUCUUGAUCUUCCUGGCGGCUGUUAAGGGCAGGUUUCCGGUCUUUGUUGACCGGCCUGUUGACGGGCCGUGUCGUCCUGUCUCCUGUCACUGUGAGACACCACCCGUGCCCGGCAUGUCCGAUUUCAGAGUGUUCCUGUGUGGGGAGAUGUGCGUCUGAGAGCUGGCCGGCUGGCACGUGUGGUGGGCAGGUGGGCAGGCCCCUUAGGAUCAGAGCAUCGCAGACCGGUCCCCGGGUUGCCGGCCCGAGCGGUUGGCUGUUGCUGGGGAGGAGAUGGGGGGCUGGGGAAAGUGAGUGUGUGCGGGGUGAGCAGGCGCUGGGAGCGGGCCGUGGGGGCCGCAGAGCCUGGCCGAGGUCGUUCCUCUGCAGGCGUGCCCACGGGCUGGGCCUUGAGCACGCUGCCGUGGAGAUCUCUGCGUGGCCGCGGCUUGGACGUGUGAUCUCGAGCAAGCUGUCGGGUCUUCCUCUGCUUGGGUUUUCUGAUCCGUACGUUAGGCAGGGUGCUGGCAACCUUUAUCCUCUGGCUGCUGGGUCAGUACACUGCGCCAACGUGGUGCCUAAAACAGUGCCUCCGACAGUGCUAACGAGGUUUGCUUGUUACUUCUGUGAUUAGUCAUCCGCGUGGAGAUGUUUGGAUACAAGUGGAAAUUCAAGCCUGGGCUCAAGACGCAGUUGGGGCCAAGUAUGUAAAUUUGGGAGCCUUUUGGCCGUUGUGGCUCUAGACAGGGUGGAGCCUCGGGAGGAGGAGGGUCUGGCCACACCUGCUGUAAAGGGGUCUGUUGAAGGCGGAAGCCGGCAGGGCCUGGGGGUCUGGGAGCCAGGGCUGAGGCAGUGGGCCUUGCAGUGGUCAAGGGCACCGUUCUCCGGGGGAGUCUGGUUAAAAGCCGGCAGAGUGUGGGUCUGUAGCUGGAGGGGUCCUGGGCUCCAGGGAGUCACGUGAUUUCGUUCUUCAGAUGGAGAUGAUGAUGGUGUGUUUAUGGGUUCACAGGAGUGACCCAGUUGGGGGGUAGCUUUGUAUGACGUCGGGAAGAGGGUCGCUGCAGGAGCCUCGUCCUUGAGAAGGUGGGCGGGAGGCUGGAGCAGCAGGACCUCUGCGCACGGGGACCUGGACUCGCUUCGCGAUACUUCUGGAAGACGUGCUGCCCUUUUCAAAGGAAGGCAUAAAACAAAGCAGACUCUUGUCUCGGUCUCAGGAACUCGGGGCUCGUGCUCUCGAAUGUAGGCCCCAGUUUCUUAUUAGAUCCUGGCGUCAAGCUUGCCUUGGGGCCUCCUUAUGGAAAGACACACGUGGGAACAGCAUUUCGCUUUACCAGAGUCCUGCCUCGCCUUGGCUCAGAAAGUGUCAUGACCUUCAUGAGACGCCGGCGCCUUUCCUCACCGGGUCGGGUCCUGUUCCUGAGGACGAGUGCAGGGUGCCUCCUGCCUGGGCUGCCGUUGUCUCUGGCCAUCUAGAAGGGGGGAGCUUUGCAUCUGGACGGCCCCCCCUCCCGGGGGAGGACAGGGUCGCUUCGGCCCAGUGAAGCUGGUUGUCCCCGGGGCAGCAGCCCUCUGCCGGCUGGGGCGAAGGGCCUCCUCCUCGCGCGCGGGCCUGUGCUGUCCGCGGUGGGCUGGCGCGUUUGCAGGAGUCCCGCCAUGGGCUCGGGGGUGAGGAAGCCUUCACCGGCUCCCUGCGUGUGCCCGCGCUCUGUGCCACGGGAAGACUGUUCAUGCCGCUCUGGGCACUCUUUGCCACAGUGACAGGUUCUGUGUGAGUCACUGUGGAGGGACGCGCUCUCAAGGAGAAGCCCUCUGCCUCCGCAGGCCGUCAUUCUGGCGGGGAGGCUAAGCCAGGCACUAGGGCAGACGCUCUGCGUCAGAGGGCGGCUGCUGGGCAGGUCAGGCCUCUCUCCAGAGGGGUGCCACGCUGAUGCCCAGCGGAGACAAGCUCUUCCUCCCCAGAGCGGGGACAAGGACAUUCCCAGUGGAAGGCACAGCCUGCAGGAACCCUGCUUGUUGGAGCCGCUGGGGGUGGGGUGGACUGCAGCCUUUGUCCCGUCACUGAUGGCGGUGCUUGGAGGUGAGCCGUGCGUGCGGAGUUGGAGGCUGGGGGUGCCGAGUGUGGGCUGCGUGCAGAGGGGAUCUGGGGGUGAGGAGCAGGGGCGUUAGGAGGGGCUCUUCGCGCUCUCUGAGACCUGAGGUGAAGGUCCUUCAGUUACGGGCAUCACUUUCUCUCCGGUUCUGUUUGAAUCUGGCAGUCACUGAUCCAUUGGUGUGUCACGUGUGGAACAUGCACAUAUGUGUGCGUGAUGCGGGACGUGUAUGCCGCAUUGUUUCUGCGUGUGGCAGAGCCGGCAGCACGAAGGGUGCUUGUAGUGGGCUCACGGAUCCCUCCCGAGCACGUCGCGCCUGUUUCUCAGCUGGGGGCCAGACGUAAGAGGUCGGGCAGGGUCCGGCAGAGCGGGGUGACCUUCGGCUCGCAUUCUGUAAGCUGUCACCGUGCGUCGGGCGCGGUGGAGCCAGGGAAGCCGGCCGCGGCCCACGUGGCUCGGAAGGGUCUCCCUGACGUGGGCCAUCGUCCCCCUCAGACUGCUGCCUCCGUAGCCUCCUGCCCGGGGUCUCCUGCUGCCGGUUCCCGACCGGCCUCCUGAUCAGAGCCUGAAGCGCGGGGAUGGAUCCAUCACUGCCCACCCAAGCCCCGCCACUCCCCCACCUCAGGGUCCUCCCGGCCCCGUCUCCCUCUCCCCUUCCCCCUCCAGCCCCGGGGCCUCGCCCCCAGCCAUCUCCUGGGCUUGCUCCCCCCCCCCCCCCGCCCCCAGCCAGCCACGGUGUGUCCUGCUGUCCCUCCGUUUAUCUUCCUCCCCGCACCCCUCCCUCCCAUCAGGCUGCCGUCCGACUGAGCAAGCGUUGGUCUCACGGGGUCAGGGCUCUGGCCCGUCUCUGCCCUCGGGGCUCAGAACGGCUCGGCAGAGAGUGGGCGCGCACCUGUGUCUGGACCGAAGGACUGGGGUUUUCUUACUCUGCAGGUAGUAAGUGGGCAGAGCGCAUGGAGGCUCCGUGGUCGCCCUCCCCGCCGCGCCCCUCCCCUGCUCCUGCCGCACUUGGUGAAUCAGGCAUCUAUUUAUGCCCCGUAUGUCUGUGUUAUCUCCAGAUUUGUGUGCUUUUCUUUGUAGAGUGAAACAUUUACAAAACAUUCGAAGUUGUUCUGAAACCCUGAAGUACAAUAUCGUAGUUUAGUCUGUUGAACACAGGGAGUCCUGUCAGCCUACGAGAGCGGCUGUGUCCCGCUGCCGUUUGAACCCCUUAGGGCGACGCACAGCUGGGACGUGUUCUCUUAAGUCGAAACAGCUGGAGGAGCAGGGGUUCCCACCGCCUGGGACACAAGCGAGAAAGCGAGUAAUUCUGGGAGCUUCCGGAAAACACACCGGUUCAACGGUGCGGGCUUCGAGGGUCGCCAACCCCGAGGGAAGGUGGCCGCUGGGUGCCUGGAGGAGGACGCAGCGCAGAGGAGGCGGCAAGAGGGUGUGCUGGGACUUAGGAAGCUGCCUCCGAACUCGGGGCUUCCCUUCAGCAUCCUGCCGCACCGCCCUCGGGUGUGAACAGGGCCGGUCCGGGGCGAUUUCCAAGCUUUGUUCCAUUUCCAGAAGACGGCUGCACGCAGAGUAAAGUAAACUCCCAGGGUCUCAGGGUCUCCAGGGUCAUUCAGUCAGCUGUCGUCCUGGCACCUGUGUGCGGUCCCCUGUCGAAGCAGGCAGCGCCGCGUCCCUUCCCUGCAGCUGAGACCCACCAGAGCCUCGCACGUGGCACGGAGCGUCCUGCCGCCUCCCUCUGGGCCCGGCAGCCUGCAAAAGGAGGUGGGGCGCGGGAAGGGAGCUGGGGGUCCGUCCUGGGUCCCGGCUCCAGGGACUCCAGACGGCCCCUCUCGCUAGCUCCUCAGUCUCGGGGGCCGAGUCGGUGUCGGUGGCCGGGAAUCGAGUGAGGACUGUGUCUCCGGUGGGAGAGUCUGCAGCCUGGCAGAGCUGGCUGCGGGUAAGGAGGGAGCCAGCCGCCUCCGGGAGCUUCGCACAGUCUGGCUGUGGGGCGCUGAGCUCGGCGGGUGCGCCCGAGGCCGCGGCUCCGUGUGCGGGCAGCGCGCGUGGACCCCGCUUCCCUCCUGCUUUUGGCCGUUGGCAGGACGCCCCGGUUCCCUGCCUCUUCCAGCACUAAGCACGUGGGGUGAGUUGGUUUUCUCGAGAAGAGGAACUCGCUCCGGCAUGCAAGAUGGCUUCCCGCCAUCUGACGAGGCUGAGUUGGUCACGGCACCGGGUUUCCCGCUGCCCACGCGCCAUCCUAACCCCACGCGCUGUCCUAACCCCACGCGGGGGCUCCUCCGUAUCCUUGUCUUCUCUUUCGGGGUUCUGCUGGGCACCUCCUUUCACGGGUUCCUGUCUGUGGAGGCCGGGCUCUGUGCCUGUCCCCGAGCGUGGCCGCGUGGGGCAGAAGGGGGUGUCUCCACGUACAGAAGGGGCGUGUGGGCGCGGACAUGGGGCGGCGCUGUCCGGACUUUCGGCCUGGGGCCCGUCCCCAAAGCUGCGGGUGCAGGGGCUCUGGGCUCAGGCCGCAGCCCACAGAGCUGUGGUGAGAGGAGGGACCGUGUCCCCGAGCCGGCGACGGGGGAGAUCAGUCUGUGCAAGUGCCAGCUUCGUGGUCCGGAGCGUCUUCCCGCAGCGAUCGACCCAAGCGACAGAGGGAUGGCUCCGGAGCCAGUCCCGGGCGCCCGCUCCAACCGACCGUGUGCGCCGUCGUCUGCGCGGCAUUCUCGCCGGGCGGCUUCCCAGACUGUGUUGUUGUUGUUGUUAAUAUGGUAGGACUUGACUCUCCUUCGGAAGUUCCCGAAAUGCUUCAAGGCCCUCCUGUCACAGAGCUCUGGGGGGGAGGCUUGGCCUGCGGGGCAAGCUGGUUUGGGAGUUGAGCCCGGAGUCCGAACCCAGGGCGGCCUUCCCAGGACCCCCCAGUCACGGGACCUGAGAGCCGCAAUCGUGUGGGUCCCAGAGUCCAGCCUAGACUGGACCGUCCCCGAAGCCCCGUGGAGGAUCAGUCCUGUCGGGUUCCGGCAGCUGUUGGAUGUGCUGAGACGGGGACCUCAGUCGCGGCACUGUGUGCUGCGGUGUGGCCGCGGGGAGGCGCCACGGGGGCGCCACGGGGGGCGUUGGGUUACAGUGACCUCUCCUCACUCCUGCUCUCGGGCUUGCACGUGAACGAGUGACGUAGUUGGUCAUUUUACUCUCCUUGAGUUUCCUUCCUCCGACGAAACUGAGAGGGGACUGGUGUUUCCAUAGAAACGACAGGUAUGGACCGAACCAGCGGGAUGCGGCGCGGGGAUGCGAGGUG